Long non-coding RNA from Physeter macrocephalus (sperm whale), 758 nucleotides. RefSeq lists it as uncharacterized. The transcript has 6 exons. Lineage: Eukaryota; Metazoa; Chordata; Mammalia; Artiodactyla; Physeteridae. The record is from RefSeq and is a predicted model, not a curated record.
ACAAGUUUGGCCAUAUGUGGAAGAUUAUUGAAGCUGGAACAUGAUUACAUGGGAGUUUAUUGUACUCAUCCCUCUCUUUUGUAUAUGAGUGGCAAAAUAUUGAGGGAAGAACACAGAAGAAUACAGAGAUGAAAAAGAAAGAUCAGAAAAUGUACUUCAAGACUCUACAUUCUCAUGACCACUGGGAACUCACUUCAGGAGAUUCAGCUUCAGUUUGUGUUUUAACUUCUGAAUCUGGAACAGAUUUCACCUUUUCUUUGACUCCAUUAGGACUUCCUGAUACAAUGACAGGGUAUCUAUGUUAAGUAGGCAAGUGAAGUGGAAAACUGAGCUUAUUCUGAAUAUUGUAUUCCCCUUGAGAGUUUGGAGAGGUCAAUAUCAGAGUUAAGAAGUAGAAGAUACUGCAUUUGAGGACUGCUCAUUGGUUUAAAACUUCACUCUUUUAAUUUUGCUGUGUGGGGUACGUAUUUUCACUAUGUCCAUACACACCAAACAUGUCCUCAUCGUAGGGCCUUUUCCUCAGCCCUUUCCUCUGUCUAGAAUGCUUUUCCCCCAGAUAACCGCGGAUCCACCUUCCUCACCUCCAUCAAGGCUUUGCUCCGAUACCAUCUUCUCAAUUAGACCUAGGCUGAGAUUCCUCUUUAAAAUUGCUUACUGGUCCCCGCUCUACACUCUGUGGACCAACUUAUCCUGGUUAGCCUGGGACUUUCCUGGUUUUAACAUUGCAAGUCCCACAUCCCAGGAACCCCCUCAUCUAA